CCACUGGGGGCUGCCUAAUACUGCAAGUCGAGCGGACCGACGGGAGCUUGCUCCCUUAGGUCAGCGGCGGACGCCUGAGUAACACGUGGGUAACCUGCCUGUAAGACUGGGAUAACUCCGGGAAACCGGGGCUAAUACCGGAUGCUUGAUUGAACCGCAUGGUUCAAUCAUAAAAGGCGGCUUCGGCUGCCGUUUACAGAUGGACCCGCGGCGCAUUAGCUAGUUGGUGAGGUAACGGCUCACCAAGGCGACGAUGCGUAGCCGACCUGAGAGGGUGAUCGGCCACACUGGGACUGAGACACGGCCCAGACUCCUACGGGAGGCAGCAGUAGGGAAUCUUCCGCAAUGGACGAAAGUCUGACGGAGCAACGCCGCGUGAGUGAUGAAGGUUUUCGGAUCGUAAAGCUCUGUUGUUAGGGAAGAACAAGUACCGUUCGAAUAGGGCGGUACCUUGACGGUACCUAACCAGAAAGCCACGGCUAACUACGUGCCAGCAGCCGCGGUAAUACGUAGGUGGCAAGCGUUGUCCGGAAUUAUUGGGCGUAAAGCGCGCGCAGGCGGUUUCUUAAGUCUGAUGUGAAAGCCCCCGGCUCAACCGGGGAGGGUCAUUGGAAACUGGGGAACUUGAGUGCAGAAGAGGAGAGUGGAAUUCCACGUGUAGCGGUGAAAUGCGUAGAGAUGUGGAGGAACACCAGUGGCGAAAGCGACUCUCUGGUCUGUAACUGACGCUGAGGCGCGAAAGCGUGGGGAGCGAACAGGAUUAGAUACCCUGGUAGUCCACGCCGUAAACGAUGAGUGCUAAGUGUUAGAGGGUUUCCGCCUUUUAGUGCUGCAGCAAACGCAUUAAGCACUCCCCCUGGGGAGAACGGUCCCCAGAAUGAAACUCAAAGGAAAUGACGGGGGCCCGCACAAACGGUGGAGCAUGUGGUUUAAUUCGAAACAACCGCAAAAAACCUUACCAGUCUUGGCAUCCUCUGAAAUCCCUAAAAAAAGGCUUCCCCUUCGGGGGGAAAAGGACGGGGGGGAAGGGUUGUCUUCCCCCCGUGCCCGGAAAUGUUGGGUUAAAUCCCCCAAACAACGCCACCCCCUUAACUUUAAUUCCCAACAUUUCAUUUGGGGCCCCCUUAGGGGGAAAUGGCCGGGGACAAACCCGGAAAAAAGGGGGGGGAAGAACACCCAAAUUAUCCUUCCUCCUUUUUAACACGGGGCCCCAAACCACGUGUU
RNAcentral lists this ribosomal RNA (1224 nucleotides) under Bacillus sp. (in: firmicutes). Its description in RNAcentral is "Bacillus sp. (in: Bacteria) partial 16S ribosomal RNA". It matches the Rfam family "Bacterial small subunit ribosomal RNA", at positions 33 to 1226 of the family's 1533-position model. The record is from RNAcentral. Lineage: Bacteria; Bacillati; Bacillota; Bacilli; Caryophanales; Bacillaceae.